AGGAGCAACAGCCCUAGUGGCGGGGCAGCUCUGGAAACCUGGAUUCAGCUCCGGCAGGAACUCCGGAGCUCUCCGUCUGCAGGGCCUGGAGGCUCCGGGGCGGG
Canis lupus familiaris (dog) is the source of this 104-nucleotide non-coding RNA. The record is from Rfam. Lineage: Eukaryota; Metazoa; Chordata; Mammalia; Carnivora; Canidae.